This 391-nucleotide unclassified non-coding RNA is filed under the name soil metagenome. RNAcentral's name for it is "partial contains 5.8S ribosomal RNA, internal transcribed spacer 2, and large subunit ribosomal RNA". The stretch from base 1 to 122 matches the Rfam family "5.8S ribosomal RNA", at positions 35 to 154 of the family's 154-position model. The record is from RNAcentral.
GAUGAAGAACGCAGCGAAAUGCGAUACUUGGUGUGAAUUGCAGAAUCCCGUGAACCAUCGAGUCUUUGAACGCAAGUUGCGCCCGAAGCCAUUAGGCCGAGGGCACGCCUGCCUGGGCAUCACACGUCGUUGCCCCCCCAUCUACUCCUUCGGGAUUGCGGGCGGCGGAUGAUGGCCUCCCGUGCGCCUCGUCGCGCGGUUGGCAUAAAUGCCAAGUCCUCGGCGACGCACGCCACGACAAUCGGUGGUUGCGAAACCUCGGUUGCCCGUCGUGUGCGGUCGUCGCGCAUCGAGGGCUCGAAAAAAUUGCCGGGCUCCGGCUCGGCUUUCAACGCGACCCCAGGUCAGGCGGGGUUACCCGCUGAAUUUAAGCAUAUCAAUAAGCGGAGGA